RNAcentral lists this ribosomal RNA (2901 nucleotides) under Escherichia coli. RNAcentral's name for it is "23S ribosomal RNA". It matches the Rfam family "Bacterial large subunit ribosomal RNA". Lineage: Bacteria; Pseudomonadati; Pseudomonadota; Gammaproteobacteria; Enterobacterales; Enterobacteriaceae. The record is from RNAcentral.
UUAAGCGACUAAGCGUACACGGUGGAUGCCCUGGCAGUCAGAGGCGAUGAAGGACGUGCUAAUCUGCGAUAAGCGUCGGUAAGGUGAUAUGAACCGUUAUAACCGGCGAUUUCCGAAUGGGGAAACCCAGUGUGUUUCGACACACUAUCAUUAACUGAAUCCAUAGGUUAAUGAGGCGAACCGGGGGAACUGAAACAUCUAAGUACCCCGAGGAAAAGAAAUCAACCGAGAUUCCCCCAGUAGCGGCGAGCGAACGGGGAGGAGCCCAGAGCCUGAAUCAGUGUGUGUGUUAGUGGAAGCGUCUGGAAAGGCGCGCGAUACAGGGUGACAGCCCCGUACACAAAAAUGCACAUGCUGUGAGCUCGAUGAGUAGGGCGGGACACGUGGUAUCCUGUCUGAAUAUGGGGGGACCAUCCUCCAAGGCUAAAUACUCCUGACUGACCGAUAGUGAACCAGUACCGUGAGGGAAAGGCGAAAAGAACCCCGGCGAGGGGAGUGAAAAAGAACCUGAAACCGUGUACGUACAAGCAGUGGGAGCACGCUUCGGCGUGUGACUGCGUACCUUUUGUAUAAUGGGUCAGCGACUUAUAUUCUGUAGCAAGGUUAACCGAAUAGGGGAGCCGAAGGGAAACCGAGUCUUAACUGGGCGUUAAGUUGCAGGGUAUAGACCCGAAACCCGGUGAUCUAGCCAUGGGCAGGUUGAAGGUUGGGUAACACUAACUGGAGGACCGAACCGACUAAUGUUGAAAAAUUAGCGGAUGACUUGUGGCUGGGGGUGAAAGGCCAAUCAAACCGGGAGAUAGCUGGUUCUCCCCGAAAGCUAUUUAGGUAGCGCCUCGUGAAUUCAUCUCCGGGGGUAGAGCACUGUUUCGGCAAGGGGGUCAUCCCGACUUACCAACCCGAUGCAAACUGCGAAUACCGGAGAAUGUUAUCACGGGAGACACACGGCGGGUGCUAACGUCCGUCGUGAAGAGGGAAACAACCCAGACCGCCAGCUAAGGUCCCAAAGUCAUGGUUAAGUGGGAAACGAUGUGGGAAGGCCCAGACAGCCAGGAUGUUGGCUUAGAAGCAGCCAUCAUUUAAAGAAAGCGUAAUAGCUCACUGGUCGAGUCGGCCUGCGCGGAAGAUGUAACGGGGCUAAACCAUGCACCGAAGCUGCGGCAGCGACACUGUGUGUUGUUGGGUAGGGGAGCGUUCUGUAAGCCUGUGAAGGUGUACUGUGAGGUAUGCUGGAGGUAUCAGAAGUGCGAAUGCUGACAUAAGUAACGAUAAAGCGGGUGAAAAGCCCGCUCGCCGGAAGACCAAGGGUUCCUGUCCAACGUUAAUCGGGGCAGGGUGAGUCGACCCCUAAGGCGAGGCCGAAAGGCGUAGUUGAUGGGAAACAGGUUAAUAUUCCUGUACUUGGUGUUACUGCGAAGGGGGGACGGAGAAGGCUAUGUUGGCCGGGCGACGGUUGUCCCGGUUUAAGCGUGUAGGCUGGUUUUCCAGGCAAAUCCGGAAAAUCAAGGCUGAGGCGUGAUGACGAGGCACUACGGUGCUGAAGCAACAAAUGCCCUGCUUCCAGGAAAAGCCUCUAAGCAUCAGGUAACAUCAAAUCGUACCCCAAACCGACACAGGUGGUCAGGUAGAGAAUACCAAGGCGCUUGAGAGAACUCGGGUGAAGGAACUAGGCAAAAUGGUGCCGUAACUUCGGGAGAAGGCACGCUGAUAUGUAGGUGAAGCGACUUGCUCGUGGAGCUGAAAUCAGUCGAAGAUACCAGCUGGCUGCAACUGUUUAUUAAAAACACAGCACUGUGCAAACACGAAAGUGGACGUAUACGGUGUGACGCCUGCCCGGUGCCGGAAGGUUAAUUGAUGGGGUUAGCGCAAGCGAAGCUCUUGAUCGAAGCCCCGGUAAACGGCGGCCGUAACUAUAACGGUCCUAAGGUAGCGAAAUUCCUUGUCGGGUAAGUUCCGACCUGCACGAAUGGCGUAAUGAUGGCCAGGCUGUCUCCACCCGAGACUCAGUGAAAUUGAACUCGCUGUGAAGAUGCAGUGUACCCGCGGCAAGACGGAAAGACCCCGUGAACCUUUACUAUAGCUUGACACUGAACAUUGAGCCUUGAUGUGUAGGAUAGGUGGGAGGCUUUGAAGUGUGGACGCCAGUCUGCAUGGAGCCGACCUUGAAAUACCACCCUUUAAUGUUUGAUGUUCUAACGUGGACCCGUGAUCCGGGUUGCGGACAGUGUCUGGUGGGUAGUUUGACUGGGGCGGUCUCCUCCUAAAGAGUAACGGAGGAGCACGAAGGUUGGCUAAUCCUGGUCGGACAUCAGGAGGUUAGUGCAAUGGCAUAAGCCAGCUUGACUGCGAGCGUGACGGCGCGAGCAGGUGCGAAAGCAGGUCAUAGUGAUCCGGUGGUUCUGAAUGGAAGGGCCAUCGCUCAACGGAUAAAAGGUACUCCGGGGAUAACAGGCUGAUACCGCCCAAGAGUUCAUAUCGACGGCGGUGUUUGGCACCUCGAUGUCGGCUCAUCACAUCCUGGGGCUGAAGUAGGUCCCAAGGGUAUGGCUGUUCGCCAUUUAAAGUGGUACGCGAGCUGGGUUUAGAACGUCGUGAGACAGUUCGGUCCCUAUCUGCCGUGGGCGCUGGAGAACUGAGGGGGGCUGCUCCUAGUACGAGAGGACCGGAGUGGACGCAUCACUGGUGUUCGGGUUGUCAUGCCAAUGGCACUGCCCGGUAGCUAAAUGCGGAAGAGAUAAGUGCUGAAAGCAUCUAAGCACGAAACUUGCCCCGAGAUGAGUUCUCCCUGACCCUUUAAGGGUCCUGAAGGAACGUUGAAGACGACGACGUUGAUAGGCCGGGUGUGUAAGCGCAGCGAUGCGUUGAGCUAACCGGUACUAAUGAACCGUGAGGCUUAACCUU